AAACGCAAAAGUUCGUGUUUUUCAGGACGGCAUUUUGCUAUAGCAAGUGUCAUGGCGUGAGCAUGAGGGAAAUUUUAGGACACAAAGUCCUAUCAGGUUACACAUCUGGUACAUACUUCAUCUGUGACUCGAUAGUCCAUUCAAGAGUCUACUCGAUCACAGAAUAGAUACCAGACCAGAAGGGACACUCCUAUGUGUUUUGGCUUGGGAAAAACGUCGGAAAUUUUUUAAUUGCUAUGACGCCAUCCUGGAGUGCACACGGCACUUUGUACCUAUGUUUGGCCUGUGAAAAACUUCCGUGUGUACUCCAGGAUGGCGUCAUACGAUGGCGUAUUUUCACGUCAGCAUUCGUAAAAUUACGGACAAAAUAUCGUGUGAUCAGAGUGACACUUCUGGUCGCAGACAUGUAUCUAUUCUGUGACUUGAUAGUCCACUGACGAAUUUGAUUUGCGCACGCCCUUUUAUACUAACGGUUGAAGGGAUCUUUGUACACGUGAUCGGACGAGUGGUGUGAUUUGUAUCCAGCCAAUCAACAUUGAGUUAUAAAAGUGUGGGUUGGCAUUGCUACAGUAGCUUGUUCCAGACGUUGUCGCCUGGUCAAGUCGAUUCGCUGUUCAAUCGAUUAAGGUUAAAAUAUGUUCACAACUUAAAAUACUUAUCAAAAUAUCAUAGUAAAAUCUUCAAACUAUACCUAUGUGAACUUUACUUUACUUACUAAACUAAAUUUACUUACAAUUUUAUCGAACACAGAUUUUGAUGACGUAAUAUUUUAAUUGCAUGACCGAGUGUUAUCUAUAGCUUGGGAUGACUCAUCUUUAUGCCUAGAGCCUGCAUGUCCAUGUAAAAGGUAUAUGUUCAUGAGACUACAGGCAGCUGCUUUCUUUUUAAAACAAAUCUGCCCACAAGAUAAACUAUAUGAGGAAACAGGUCAAUCAAAACAUGACAUCUUCACAUAUACAACGGCGGCUAUUCUAACAAACAGUCAUAUCCAAAUGGAAGAAAUAAAUGAACGUUUUCCGAAAAACCGAAAUAUUGACUUUACUUUGAUUUGUGGCAAAAUAGCCAUUAUCUCUUGUCAUUAUGCUCAAGAUAAUAUUUGCUUGCACAAACAUUUCACCUGCUCUCAAGCAAACAUACUUUGUUAUUUUAUUUUAUUUUUACCUAAAAUUUUAUGUAUAAGUGAUAGUGUUUCGUGAGCAAGAUUCAGGCACACUCGGAUAUCCUACAACCGAAACCUGAAAUUGAAAGCCAAGCUAAAGUUGGACAAGAACUUGAAAAGACAUUUCAAA
Molecule: non-coding RNA, 1289 nt
Organism: Paramuricea clavata
Lineage: Eukaryota; Metazoa; Cnidaria; Anthozoa; Malacalcyonacea; Plexauridae
Source: the annotation of a GenBank genome assembly